AGUGAACGCUGGCGGUAGGCCUAACACAUGCAAGUCGAACGGCAGCACAAUAAGAGCUUGCUCUUACGGGUAGCGAGUGGCGGACGGGUGAGGAAUACAUCGGAAUCUACUUUUUCGUGGGGGAUAACGUAGGGAAACUUACGCUAAUACCGCAUACGACCUACGGGUGAAAGCAGGGGAUCUUCGGACCUUGCGCGAUUGAAUGAGCCGAUGUCGGAUUAGCUAGUUGGCGGGGUAAAGGCCCACCAAGGCGACGAUCCGUAGCUGGUCUGAGAGGAUGAUCAGCCACACUGGAACUGAGACACGGUCCAGACUCCUACGGGAGGCAGCAGUGGGGAAUAUUGGACAAUGGGCGCAAGCCUGAUCCAGCCAUACCGCGUGGGUGAAGAAGGCCUUCGGGUUGUAAAGCCCUUUUGUUGGGAAAGAAAAGCAGCAGGUUAAUACCCCGCUGUUCUGACGGUACCCAAAGAAUAAGCACCGGCUAACUUCGUG
RNAcentral lists this ribosomal RNA (492 nucleotides) under uncultured bacterium. Its description in RNAcentral is "partial 16S ribosomal RNA". It matches the Rfam family "Bacterial small subunit ribosomal RNA", at positions 29 to 507 of the family's 1533-position model. The record is from RNAcentral.